This is a non-coding RNA of Castor canadensis (American beaver), 1349 nucleotides long. The record is from RefSeq and is a predicted model, not a curated record. NCBI's taxonomy places the organism in Eukaryota, Metazoa, Chordata, Mammalia, Rodentia, Castoridae.
AAAGAAGGCUUGAAGAGAUUCAAGUGACAUCCUCGGAUUUAUUUGUUCUAAGGGCUUUUAAUGUGAGCCUUUGGUUUGUUCAUGUUUUCUUUGUAAAAAAAAGAAGGCUUGAAGAGAUUCAAGUGACAUCCUCGGAUUUAUUUGUUCUAAGGGCUUUUAAUGUGAGCCUUUGGUUUGUUCAUGUUUUCUUUGUAUUGGGUUUUGAGAGGAAGACCACAGAGGUAAAGUGCCAAUCUCAUCACAUCGUAUCAAGAAUGUGUACUGUCAACAUGAGUUACUGCUGUUGACGUUGACCUUGAUCACCUGGCUCAAGUAGUGUUUGUCAGGUUUCUCUUCUGUAAAAACAUGCUGUACUGCUUGGGAGGACAAAGUGACUAUGUACAAUCCACGCGUAAGGAAUGGGGAGUUAACAUUGAAGGAGGAGUAUUUGCAUUAAUUAUUUGUCUCUUCUCCAUUAAUUUAUUCAGCCAUUAUGUUAACAUAAAUGCAUAAUUUUUUGGGGUCAUAAUUCAAUACCACUUUAUUUUGUUGCUCAAAUUCUUCUAGCUUUGGCCAGUGGGAACUCUCAGUUGUGACCCUUUGACAGACCUCCAUCAUUGUGCACUUUUUUUUUUAAAGUACUUCUGUAUUUUUCAGUGCCAGUAGUCAUUGUGUAUUUUUCACAUAAUUCUCAAAUCAGUAGUUUCUCCAAAGGAGCCUUAGUUUACUUUUAUUAAAGAAUAAUACUAGAAAUCUGAUCCGUAUUCCUUGUUACUGGGGUGUUGUUGUUUGUAGACCUUCUGAAACAAUGAAGCAAGGAAAUCUAUGUGCAUGUGUUAUCCUGUGGGUAUAACAUCUAUAAGUUCAUUAAUCUAUCUUUCUUUUUUUAGUGUUGGAUAUUGAACCCAGGACCUCACGUAUGUUAAGUAUGUCUUUUACCACUGAACUACAUUCCAGUCCCAUAACUAUUUCUAUAUGUAAUCAUCUAUCUGAAGAUAAUGCUAAUGUCUACAAGUCUAAUCCAUUACCACAUGGAUCACUUUAGCCUGCUCCCCUCAUCUGUAAACUCGUAUUCCAAUAGUGAGAAAUUUGGCUCCCACCAUAUGGCAUUUUUUAACUUAAUUCUUCAAUUCUUAUAUGGUUGUGUAGUGGUAUCAGAAUUGUUAAUCCAUGUACAAGUGAGAGACUUCACAGAGUUCAUGCUGUGUAUACAGUUACAGACAACUCAUUUCCAGAGUUACUUAGGUCAGCAUCUUUUCUUCCACCCUCUUGAGUGAGGUGGUUUCCUAAUUUAUAAUUCACUUACAUUGUUUUGUCACAUUCUGCAUACCAUUCUGGGACCUCCCAGAUAGCUAAGUGGAUUUUUAACU